This 518-nucleotide ribosomal RNA is filed under the name uncultured bacterium. RNAcentral's name for it is "bacterial SSU rRNA". It matches the Rfam family "Bacterial small subunit ribosomal RNA", at positions 10 to 518 of the family's 1533-position model. The record is from RNAcentral.
AGUUUGAUUAUGGCUCAGGAUGAACGCUAGCGACAGGCUUAACACAUGCAAGUCGAGGGGCAUCACGGGAGUAGCAAUACAACUGGUGGCGACCGGCGCACGGGUGAGUAACGCGUAUGCAACCUACCUAUCAGAGGGGAAUAACCCGGCGAAAGUCGGACUAAUACCGCAUAAAACAGGGGCACCGCAUGGUGAUAUUUGUUAAAGAAAUUCGCUGAUAGAUGGGCAUGCGUUCCAUUAGGUAGUUGGUGAGGUAACGGCUCACCAAGCCGACGAUGGAUAGGGGAACUGAGAGGUUGGUCCCCCACACUGGUACUGAGACACGGACCAGACUCCUACGGGAGGCAGCAGUGAGGAAUAUUGGUCAAUGGGCGAGAGCCUGAACCAGCCAAGUCGCGUGAAGGAAAGAAGGAUCUAUGGUUCGUAAACUUCUUUUGCAGGGGAAUAAAGUGCAGGACGUGUCCUGUUUUGUAUGUACCCUGAGAAUAAGGAUCGGCUAACUCCGUGCCAGCAGCAGC